RNAcentral lists this unclassified non-coding RNA (266 nucleotides) under Hevea brasiliensis (rubber tree). The record is from RNAcentral. Lineage: Eukaryota; Viridiplantae; Streptophyta; Magnoliopsida; Malpighiales; Euphorbiaceae.
GGCAGAGGCGGGGGUGGAGCUAUUGGCAUGUUGGGUGGUUGCAUGGACAUCGACAUGGGCAUAAAAGGUCUGGGAACACCCAUAGGGGUGAAUCCAGGGGGUGGUGGCACAGGUAUGCUUGGUGGGUUCACAGAUAUCGGUUGGGGCAUAGGUGGCGGUCGAUUCAUCAUCAUAGGCUGCUGAGAUUGCAUAGGCGGUAGAAUAGGUCUCAUCUGAGGAGGCAUUGGUGUGAUAGCAGGCCUCGGUGGUGGAAGCACCGGUAUCGG